RNAcentral lists this ribosomal RNA (497 nucleotides) under uncultured bacterium. Its description in RNAcentral is "partial 16S ribosomal RNA". It matches the Rfam family "Bacterial small subunit ribosomal RNA", at positions 28 to 507 of the family's 1533-position model. The record is from RNAcentral.
GAUGAACGCUGGCGGCGUGCCUAAUACAUGCAAGUCGAGCGAACAGACGAGGAGCUUGCUCCUCUGACGUUAGCGGCGGACGGGUGAGUAACACGUGGAUAACCUACCUAUAAGACUGGGAUAACUUCGGGAAACCGGAGCUAAUACCGGAUAAUAUAUUGAACCGCAUGGUUCAAUAGUGAAAGACGGUUUUGCUGUCACUUAUAGAUGGAUCCGCGCCGCAUUAGCUAGUUGGUAAGGUAACGGCUUACCAAGGCAACGAUGCGUAGCCGACCUGAGAGGGUGAUUGGCCACACUGGAACUGAGACACGGUCCAGACUCCUACGGGAGGCAGCAGUAGGGAAUCUUCCGCAAUGGGCGCAAGCCUGACGGAGCAACGCCGCGUGAGUGAUGAAGGUCUUCGGAUCGUAAAACUCUGUUAUUAGGGAAGAACAAAUGUGUAAGUAACUAUGCCCGUCUUGACGGUACCUAAUCAGAAAGCCCCGGCUAACUACGUG